AGUGAGUAGGAGAUCGGAGACCUUUCAGUGGAGGAGUCGGCUAUUCUAUUUGGAGGUGGUGGGCAGACUAGUUUGGACAGGCUGCUGCCUAAAAGUGGGCAAUUCCUCUCUGAAGGGUGACGUCUCCAGACUGCAAAUCGACCUGCCUGGCUUCCAACCGUUUCCAGCAACAGCGGUAUAGCUCAUCUUAAGAAGCCAGGUUUCUCGGCAUGCGUGAUAAAUUCGACUUUAAACUGA
Molecule: non-coding RNA, 237 nt
Organism: Microcebus murinus (gray mouse lemur)
Lineage: Eukaryota; Metazoa; Chordata; Mammalia; Primates; Cheirogaleidae
Source: RefSeq, a predicted model, not a curated record